Molecule: ribosomal RNA, 228 nt
Filed under: uncultured bacterium
Lineage: Bacteria
Description: partial 16S ribosomal RNA
Rfam family: Bacterial small subunit ribosomal RNA
Source: RNAcentral
CGCGUAGGCAAUCUGCCUUGGAGAUUGGGACAACCAUUCGAAAGAAUGGCUAAUACCAAAUACCUUGUAUUAAUCGCAUGAUCUUUAUAAUAAAGGGGGCUUCGGCUUCCGCUUCAAGAUGAGCCUGCGUCCUAUUAGCUAGUUGGUGAGGUAACGGCCCACCAAGGCAACGAUGGGUAGCCGGCCUGAGAGGGUGAUCGGCCACAUUGGGACUGAGAUACGGCCCAG